AUUGAACGCUGGCGGCAGGCCUAACACAUGCAAGUCGAGCGGAUGAAGGGGGCUUGCUCCUGGAUUCAGCGGCGGACGGGUGAGUAAUGCCUAGGAAUCUGCCUGGUAGUGGGGGAUAACGUCCGGAAACGGGCGCUAAUACCGCAUACGUCCUGUGGGAGAAAGUGGGGGAUCUUCGGACCUCACGCUAUCAGAUGAGCCUAGGUCGGAUUAGCUAGUUGGUGGGGUAAAGGCCUACCAAGGCGACGAUCCGUAACUGGUCUGAGAGGAUGAUCAGUCACACUGGAACUGAGACACGGUCCAGACUCCUACAGGAGGCAGCAGUGGGGAAUAUUGGACAAUGGGCGAAAGCCUGAUCCAGCCAUGCCGCGUGUGUGAAGAAGGUCUUCGGAUUGUAAAGCACUUUAAGUUGGGAGGAAGGGCAGUAAGUUAAUACCUUGCUGUUUUGACGUUACCAACAGAAUAAGCACCGGCUAACUUCGUG
RNAcentral lists this ribosomal RNA (484 nucleotides) under uncultured bacterium. RNAcentral's name for it is "partial 16S ribosomal RNA". It matches the Rfam family "Bacterial small subunit ribosomal RNA", at positions 30 to 507 of the family's 1533-position model. The record is from RNAcentral.